AUGGUCUUACAAUCAAUUAAAGAGCGUGUAACAUACGGUCUCCUAGGAGCUUUUGAUGUUUCGUUUCUAAGAAUUGCCAUGAUAAGCUUAAACAAUAUGGUCAAGCAAGCACCAUUUGAUAAUUGUUUAACCACAAUGAGAUCAAGGCAUGUUAUACUGUCAGAACAUAGACUUCCUGGAAACAUUAAACCUUUCAUCUCGCAGCUUAGCCAUGCAUAUCAAUGCUACCUGAGGGACACUCCAUGUAUGGAUAAUUAA
This is a non-coding RNA of Vicia faba (fava bean), 258 nucleotides long. The record is from the annotation of a GenBank genome assembly. Lineage: Eukaryota; Viridiplantae; Streptophyta; Magnoliopsida; Fabales; Fabaceae.